Oncorhynchus keta (chum salmon) is the source of this 1589-nucleotide long non-coding RNA. RefSeq lists it as uncharacterized. The record is from RefSeq and is a predicted model, not a curated record. The transcript has 3 exons. Lineage: Eukaryota; Metazoa; Chordata; Actinopteri; Salmoniformes; Salmonidae.
GUCACCGCCUUCACUGUGACUCUUCUAUAUUAUGGAAUGGCAAGCUGGUCGGCUGGGGACUUCUCUCUCUGUGCUUCAAUACUGCUCAGUCACCACCUUCACUGUGACUCUUCUAUAUUAUGGAAUGGCAAGCUGGUCGGCUGGGGACUUCUCUCUCUGUGCUUCAAUACUGCUCAGUCACCGCCUUCACUGUGACUCUUCUAUAUUAUGGAAUGGCAAGCUGGUCGGCUGGGGACUUCUCUCUCUGUGCUUCAAUACUGCUCAGUCACCACCUUCACUGUGACUCUUCUAUAUUAUGGAAUGGCAAGCUGGUCGGCUGGGGACUUCUCUCUCUGUGCUUCAAUACUGCUCAGUCACCACCUUCACUGUGACUCUUCUAUAUUAUGGAAUGGCAAGCUGGUCGGCUGGGGACUUCUCUCUCUGUGCUUCAAUACUGCUCAGUCACCACCUUCACUGUGACUCUUCUAUAUUAUGGAAUGGCAAGCUGGUCGGCUGGGGACUUCUCUCUCUGUGCUUCAAUACUGCUCAGUCACCGCCUUCACUGUGACUCUUCUAUAUUUUGCUCCCCAUCUCCUCAGUCAGGGAAAACCAAUGGAGAUUGUCUUUGGGAUUAUCCACCAGGAAAACAGUGUGGACCGAAGCGUUAGUUUUGGCGGUGUUGAUGUGUUAUUUGGUAGCUAAGCUCAUAAGCCAUCCCCUUCCUUGUCUUUGUUUUCUUAUUGGCUUAAAGCAAUUACAAUCUCAGGAGAGGGCGCUUGGUUUCUGGGGGCUUGUCGGGGAGCGCUCUCUGGGGAGAAUAGUGAUUGACUGCCAGCCUGCUUUAUGAACAGGGAUUAAUAACUCUCCCAGUUAAUAAGGACAUGUUGCACAGAGACAGGGACGAAAGUUUGGGGUUUUGCAUUGAUUAAGUUAUGACAUACUUUCCCCCUGUCAGUGGAAAGGCACUGUGGAGCUCUAGUGGAAGCUGGCGGUACUGCUGGAGGAGAGUCAUUUUCCCCUGACCUUUUAUUAGAAGUGUGAAUAAUUGUUGUGGAUUGGAGUUUGGAUUUGUGAGAUGUGAUAAAGGUAAACCAGCUGGAUGGAAGUGCUAUGGUAUUAAUAUGGUUGUUUGCAAACCCAGGAAACUGUUCCAAGUAGACUCACUUUCCAACGUUUUUUUCUGUGUGUGUGCCCACACACAAGUGUCGUUGUCGUGUGUGUAUGUGUAUGUGUGUGUGUGUCCCAGUUUUCUCUGUUUGAGCUGAAGUAGGUGUUGGAAUUCAAUCAGAUAUUGCUGUACUCAGCAGAUUGGAUUUAGUCAAAGCAGUGCUUCCCAUAUUCCAUCAGAGUCGAGAGGUAGAGAGUCGAGAGGUAGAGAGUCGAGAGGUAGAGAGUCGAGAGGUAGAGAGUCGAGAGGUAGAGAGUCGAGAGGUAGAGAGUCGAGAGGUAGAGAGUCGAGAGGUAGAGAGUCGAGAGGUAGAGAGUCGAGAGGUAGAGAGUCGAGAGGUAGAGAGUCGAGAGGUAGAGAGUCGAGAGGUAGAGAGUCGAGAGGUAGAGAGUCGAGAGGUAGAGAGUCGAGAGGUAGAGAGUCGAGAGGUAGAGAGUCGGAG